This 440-nucleotide ribosomal RNA is filed under the name uncultured bacterium. Its description in RNAcentral is "partial 16S ribosomal RNA". It matches the Rfam family "Bacterial small subunit ribosomal RNA", at positions 338 to 795 of the family's 1533-position model. The record is from RNAcentral.
CCUACGGGAGGCAGCAGUGGGGAAUAUUGCACAAUGGGGGAAACCCUGAUGCAGCGAAGCCGCGUGAGUGAAGAAGUAUCUCGGUAUGUUAAGCUUCUUUUGCAGGGAAGAAAAUGACGGUACCUGACUAAGAAGCCCCGGACAACUACGUGCCAGCAGCCGCGGGAACCAGGAGGGGGCAAGCGUUAUACGGAUUUACUGGGGGUUAAGGGAGCGUAGGCGGCGCUGCAAGUCCGGAGUGAAAGUCCAUGGCUUAACCAUGGAACUGCCCUUGAAACUGUGGAGCUUGAGUGAGAGAGGGGCAGGCGGAAUGCGUGGUGUAGCGGUGAAAUGCAUAGAUAUUAGGAAGAACACCGACGGCGAAGGCAGCCUGCUGGAGCGUGACUGACGUUGAGGCUCGAAAGCGUGGGGAGCGAACAGGAUUAGAUACCCGUGUAGUC